This 370-nucleotide ribosomal RNA is filed under the name uncultured organism. Its description in RNAcentral is "bacterial SSU rRNA". It matches the Rfam family "Bacterial small subunit ribosomal RNA", at positions 526 to 896 of the family's 1533-position model. The record is from RNAcentral.
CGUAGGGGGCAAGCGUUGUCCGGAAUUAUUGGGCGUAAAGCGCGCGCAGGCGGCUAUUUAAGUCUGGUGUUUAAACCUUGGGCUCACCUGAGGUCGCACUGGAAACUGGGUGGCUUGAGUACAGAAGAGGAAAGUGGAAUUCCACGUGUAGCGGUGAAAUGCGUAGAUAUGUGGAGGAACACCAGUGGCGAAGGCGACUUUCUGGGCUGUAACUGACGCUGAGGCGCGAAAGCGUGGGGAGCAAACAGGAUUAGAUACCCUGGUAGUCCACGCCGUAAACGAUGAGUGCUAGGUGUUAGGGGUUUCGAUACCCUUGGUGCCGAAGUUAACACAGUAAGCACUCCGCCUGGGGAGUACGGUCGCAAGACUG